RNAcentral lists this ribosomal RNA (497 nucleotides) under uncultured bacterium. RNAcentral's name for it is "partial 16S ribosomal RNA". It matches the Rfam family "Bacterial small subunit ribosomal RNA", at positions 28 to 507 of the family's 1533-position model. The record is from RNAcentral.
GACGAACGCUGGCGGCGUGCCUAAUACGUGCGAGUUGAGCGAUGAAGAUUGGUGCUUGCACCAAUUUGAAGAGCAGCGAACGGGUGAGUAACGCGUGGGGAAUCUGCCUUUGAGCGGGGGACAACAUUUGGAAACGAAUGCUAAUACCGCAUAACAACUUUAAACAUAAGUUUUAAGUUUGAAAGAUGCAAUUGCAUCACUCAAAGAUGAUCCCGCGUUGUAUUAGCUAGUUGGUGAGGUAAAGGCUCACCAAGGCGAUGAUACAUAGCCGACCUGAGAGGGUGAUAGGCCACAUUGGGACUGAGACACGGCCCAAACUCCUACGGGAGGCAGCAGUAGGGAAUCUUCGGCAAUGGACGAAAGUCUGACCGAGCAACGCCGCGGGAGUGAAGAAGGGUUUCGGAUCGUAAAACUCUGUUGGUAGAGAAGAACGUUGGUGAGAGUGGAAAGCUCAUCAAGUGACGGUAACUACCCAGAAAGGGACGGCUAACUACGUG